This 119-nucleotide ribosomal RNA is filed under the name Pteropus alecto (black flying fox). The record is from RNAcentral. Lineage: Eukaryota; Metazoa; Chordata; Mammalia; Chiroptera; Pteropodidae.
GUCUACAGCCAUGGCACCCUGAAUACACCCAAUUCUGUCUGAUCUCAGAAGCUAAGCAGGCUCAGGCCUGGUUAGUACUUGGAUGGGAGACCACCUAGGAAGACCAGAUGCUAUAGAUA